UCAGGCCUAACACAUGCAAGUCGAGCGGCAGCGGGAAAGUAGCUUGCUACUUUUGCCGGCGAGCGGCGGACGGGUGAGUAAUGCCUGGGAAAUUGCCCAGUCGAGGGGGAUAACAGUUGGAAACGACUGCUAAUACCGCAUACGCCCUACGGGGGAAAGCAGGGGACCUUCGGGCCUUGCGCGAUUGGAUAUGCCCAGGUGGGAUUAGCUAGUUGGUGAGGUAAUGGCUCACCAAGGCGACGAUCCCUAGCUGGUCUGAGAGGAUGAUCAGCCACACUGGAACUGAGACACGGUCCAGACUCCUACGGGAGGCAGCAGUGGGGAAUAUUGCACAAUGGGGGAAACCCUGAUGCAGCCAUGCCGCGUGUGUGAAGAAGGCCUUCGGGUUGUAAAGCACAUGAGCGAGGAGGAAAGGUCAGUAGCUAAUAUCU
This 431-nucleotide ribosomal RNA is filed under the name uncultured bacterium. RNAcentral's name for it is "bacterial SSU rRNA". It matches the Rfam family "Bacterial small subunit ribosomal RNA", at positions 42 to 466 of the family's 1533-position model. The record is from RNAcentral.